Molecule: long non-coding RNA, 457 nt
Filed under: Zonotrichia albicollis (white-throated sparrow)
Lineage: Eukaryota; Metazoa; Chordata; Aves; Passeriformes; Passerellidae
Description: lncRNA (ENSZALG00000004119.1)
Source: RNAcentral
GCCUGUUGUGCUGAGGAAUAUUUUACAAUCUUUGUCCUUCUCCAUCUAUCCAAAUCCACCAGUUGUCUUGCAGGGCUGGGGUGUGUUGUGGUGGGGACCCAACCUUUGUGCACCCAAGCUGGAAUGGCCUCUGUGCAAUUCAUGUCACUGGGAUGGUGGCACCACUUCUAAACACCCUGAAGGAAAAGGAAUGGAAGAACAAUUACUACUAUUUUAAAAGGAUGUGCUUUCGGUUUUGGCCACUGAUCCUUCAAAAGAGGUAAAUCAUGGCAAAGUGGAAAAGAUGGAAGGCAGUUUUAUUCAGUGAUGGAAUUUAUCUCUCCAAUAUUUCUUGCUUUGACUUUUACUAAGUAGAAUCAACAUCAGUUACAAAAAUGAGUGAACUGUGUUCUUAUCUCCGUGAAAAAUCUCAACUUUUUAAGGAAAUUUUUUGGGUUUAAGGCUUGACCAAGGAAGA